This 481-nucleotide ribosomal RNA is filed under the name uncultured bacterium. RNAcentral's name for it is "bacterial SSU rRNA". It matches the Rfam family "Bacterial small subunit ribosomal RNA", at positions 30 to 529 of the family's 1533-position model. The record is from RNAcentral.
AUUGAAUGCUGGCGGCAUGCCUUACACAUGCAAGUCGAACGGCAGCACGGGAGCAAUCCUGGUGGCGAGUGGCGAACGGGUGAGUAACAUAUCGGAACGUGCCCAGUAGUGGGGGAUAACCCGGCGAAAGCCGGACUAAUACCGCAUACGACCUACGGGUGAAAGCAGGGGAUCGCAAGACCUUGCGCUAUCGGAGCGGCCGAUAUCAGAUUAGCUUGUUGGUGGGGUAAAAGCCUACCAAGGCGACGAUCUGUAGCUGGUCUGAGAGGAUGAUCAGCCACACUGGGACUGAGACACGGCCCAGACUCCUACGGGAGGCAGCAGUGGGGAAUCUUAGACAAUGGGCGCAAGCCUGAUCUAGCCAUGCCGCGUGAGCGAUGAAGGCCUUAGGGUUGUAAAGCUCUUUCGUGGGGGAAGAUAAUGACUGUACCCCAAGAAGAAGCCCCGGCUAACUCCGUGCCAGCAGCCGCGGUAAAGUCGA